This 371-nucleotide ribosomal RNA is filed under the name uncultured bacterium. RNAcentral's name for it is "bacterial SSU rRNA". It matches the Rfam family "Bacterial small subunit ribosomal RNA", at positions 28 to 400 of the family's 1533-position model. The record is from RNAcentral.
GACGAACGCUGGCGGCGUGCUUAACACAUGCAAGUCGAGCGGUAAGGCUCCUUCGGGAGUACACGAGCGGCGAACGGGUGAGUAACACGUGAGCAAUCUGCCCUUCACAUCGGGAUAACCUCGGGAAACCGAAGCUAAUACCGGAUACGACCAUCGGUGGCAUCACCUGGUGGUGGAAAGUUCCGGCGGUGAAGGAUGAGCUCGCGGCCUAUCAGCUUGUUGGUGGGGUAAUGGGCCACCAAGGCGACGACGGGUAGCCGGCCUGAGAGGGUGACCGGCCACACUGGGACUGAGACACGGCCCAGACUCCUACGGGAGGCAGCAGUGGGGAAUAUUGGACAAUGGGCGAAAGCCUGAUCCAGCAACGCCGC